RNAcentral lists this long non-coding RNA (711 nucleotides) under Mus musculus (house mouse). Its description in RNAcentral is "long non-coding RNA chr15:18929592-18930303". The record is from RNAcentral. Lineage: Eukaryota; Metazoa; Chordata; Mammalia; Rodentia; Muridae.
AUAUAAUUGAGGUCAAACUGAAUUCAAGAAAGUACAACAACUCACUGUCCAUUUGACAGUGAGGUAAUGCUGCUGUGGCUGUCUCUGCCUCCUCUCAUUCCCCCUCUUUCCAUUCUUUUCCUGUCUUUUAACUAAUGCCACAACCUUUCUAUUUCAGUGUGAUUCUGGCCUCAGCAAAAUGUAUCCCUAAAAUACUGAAAUAUUAUUGGAUUUUAAUGACUAAGACAGAAAUUGAAUGAUUUAACAACAUCCUCUGUUUUCUUAGAUUUUUUUUCUUCUCGAAAUAUAGAUUAAAUUGCAUGAAUAACAGUAACGUUCUCAUUUUCAUUUUUUUCUUUUUUUUCUUUCUUUCCUUUCCUUUUCUUCUUUGUUUUUUUUCUUGGGGGUGGGGUUUCAGGGAAAGAAUGAGGAUUCUUCAAAUCCAUGUCAAGGUAUAUUUGUUAGGUUUUGAGCAAUACCUUUCUUGCUUGCUUGCUUGCUUAAUUCCAGAUGCCCCCUAACAUGUCCAUUUCUACAAACACUUCAGUUCCUAAUUUGUUAAAGAUAGACUAAAUGAGACACUCAUGUUGAAGAUUUUUAAAGACUAUUUCUUUUACCAAGGAACCUGUUGGACCCAAAUUUGGGUAAAGAAGCAUCUUUAGCAAAUGCAAAGUUGUUCAGGGUUUCAGGGUGGGAAGACAUUGUACAAGUGCAAUAAGAUGAACUGUAACC